UAUUUGAUAAAUAAAUAAAGAGUAGGAUUGAAUAUUAGUUACAGUAAUAAUUUUUUACAACUAUUAAGAUUGUUGCGAAUUAUUGUAAUUGGUAUUAUUACAACAACACAAAUUCUUGCAUAAAUUAUAAAUUACAAUAAUUUAAUUUUUAGAAUGAAAUUUUUAUAGUAAUCUUCACUACAACAAAAACGGUCUGUAGCGACACUUUUAAAUAUAGGUACAUGUCAAAAAAAUGCUGCUAGCUAAAAUUACCGACACUUUUAAAAAGUGUUGCUAUAUGUGGGGUCGCUAGGUAUAUAGCGACAGUUAAAGAGUGUCGCUAUAACCUAAAAGAGUGCUGCUAAUUUACCAACACUUAUUUAAGUAUUUAGCAACCGCCGAAACUCUAUCUCGUUGGCUGCGGUGGCGGAGAAGGACGACAGUAAAAGCUCUUCGUUUAGAAUUUCAGUGGAUUGAGUGAAGAGAGAAGAAAAGAAGGUAAUUGAUUUUUUUUUUUUUUUUCUUUUCUGUUUGUAAUCGGGCCAAAUGGACUGGGUGUAGUGGGUUGAGUAGAGUAAUCUUUUAUUUUUGGUUGGAUUGGGCUUUAUAUUUAGGCAUUAGUAGAUGUGUUUUUAAGUUUUAGUAUAAAUAGGACACUUACUCAAAAGUGUCCCAAAUAUGUAUUUCUAUAACUUAAUUCUGUUGUAGUAUACUUGCUAAAGAUAUGAAUGAAACCGUAUUUGUAAAAUAGCUAGGUUGAGUGAGAUCAAACAGCUCGAGCAGUGUGAACCAAUUUUUGUACUUUACAAAAGCAAAAACGUGGCUCGAGUAGUGUGAACCAAUUUUUGUACUUUACAAAAGCAAAAACCUGGCCGCGCUGCAUCAACAAAGGAAGCGGUUUUGUAGAUAAUACUGGCGCAGGCCUAAGUCGUGUUAAGAGAAAAGAAGUAUAAGAACGAAAAGAGAAAUACACGAAAAAUGUAAUUCUUCGACAAAAUUAAAAAUAUUAUUAAUCAACUCUAAAAGCUCAUUGCAUUAACUGAAAGCCAUGCAUAUGUAGAGUCAAUACCUGAAUUCUACUAUAAUUAAAGAUAAUAUAUUUUAAUAUAUCUCUAAACCUAAACAACCAGAAAUAACCAAAUAACUAGACUCAAAAUAGAAAAAAUACAAAACUUUUCGAAAAUAAUCUAAAAACACAAAAAUAGAGGCUUAAACAAUUGAAUUUGAAUCCCAAACUCAGGUGGAAUGACUUUAUGGUUCAACGCGUAGGAUCUUGGAAGGUAUUUUUUGAAUUGGAAUUGCAUAGUUAAAACAGACAUUCGAGCGAAAAGUUAUGGCCUUUUAAUUUGUACCAAUUGUAAAAGUCGCCAAACUCUAUAAAUUUUUCGGACCAAUUUGGUUGUGUCACAUUUUUUUAGAAACUCUAACUCUAAAUGAGCCACAUCAUAUACUUAUAUAUAUAGUAGUCAAAGUCAGAGAUUUACUAUCCGGUUUAGAAUGGAAGGUUGGGGACGGAUUGAUAAUGCAUAUAAAAGGUUACUAAGUAGGUCCAAUUUUUGACUAGUAUCACCGACAGUCCCUAAAGCAAGUGGCAAAGGGCUUGAUGGUUGGUAUCCGAGACCAAGUUCGAAUCUUUGUUGAUUCACAUUUCCAGCUAAGUUUAUUUCUAAAUGAAAUAAACGAAGUGGGUAGCGUGCUACCUAUCUCUCAAAAAAAAAAUUUUUUUUUUUGACUAGCAUCGUUCCCUAUCUCACUUUCUAAUUUGAAUUAUUUUUUUCUUUGUGUUCAAAUUAAAAUUGGCUUGCUGUUAUGCUUGGCAUGGUGUCCUCUUAAUCUAAGGGUCCUUUUGGUUUCGAAAUAAAGAAUAUUGGAAAAAAAUAUAUAUAUUCAUGUAAUAGCUUACUAUUUUAGAAUAGUCAUGAAUAAAACUAAAUGUGUGUGUGUUUUUUUUAUAAUGUUGUUAUUCUUCGUAAUAAUUUAAAUUGCACGCGUUUGAUUAAUUUUAUGGAAUAGUAGAGAAAAAUGAAAAAAAAAAAUGGUUGAAUUUGAUAUAAAAAAUAGUUUAAUAAAAAUAUUGUAUUAUAAUAUUAAUAAAAAUAAUUUAUUGUAAAAUAUGAUUUAGUAAAAAUAAGUUAUAAUAAUAUUUAAAUAUAAUUUAUUAUAAUAAUUUAAUGUAAUAUUUAAAUACAAAUAAUAUGUAUUAAAAAUUUUAUAAUAUUAGAAAUGAUUUAUUAUAAUAUACAACAUAUUACAUCUACAUAAUCACUUUAAUUCAAUUUAUAAUAUUAAUAAAUCUUGAAAUUAAAUCUUAGAAUGAUAUUAUUCCACGAAAAUGGUGGAAUAGUUUAUUCCAACUAUUCCGGGAUGACCGAGAAUAACUAGGUUUGAUCAGGAUAUUUUAUUUCGGCCAAAAAUGCCCAUUUGACAGAGCAACAGGGAUAACUUUCGUUAUCCCUACUUUAUUCUCGAAUCGUGUUGAUUUAGUAAGUUAUUUGGCUUGUUAUCGGCAUGUAUUGCCUGAUUCUUCUUAUAUUCCUUUUUUCCUAUUGCAGGAGAAAUUAUGCCUCGACUUCGUCUGUUCUGUACACGUGGACCUGAUCUGCCAUUCAUCCCACUCUACUUUUACUCAGCCACCAAAGCAUAAUUAAUAAGCAUUUUUGUUUAAUUUGAAAAUUAUUUUCCUAAUAGAGGUGGAGACAAUUUCUUUAAUCUUUAAGAAAAAUAAGGGGGGAAAAAUUGAAAGCAAAGAUUUUAGAGAUGGUGAGUUAUAGGGGUGACAUGGUGGAUCAAGCUCAAGUAUUAUUUUCCCGAAUUAUGAUCUUGUUUGGAGGUAAUAAUUUGUUUGGUACGACAAUAUUCUUCUGUGAUUGGAAAGUAUAAGCUUGAUUUUUACUGUAUAAAAGAUCCGGACAUUCAUACUUUACCUACGAUAUAGUUUAUUUUAUUCUAAUAAAAAAUAACUCAAGUUAUUUUCAACUAAGUUUAUUUCUAAAUGAAAUAAACAAAGCAGGUAGCGUGCUACGUAUCUCUCUCUCUCAAAAAAAAAAAAAAAACAAAACUCAAGUUAAGAUUGAAUAUACUAUAUUAUGCUAGAGAUUCAAUCUCACCACUUACUUAACAAAUAGAACAAAUACUAUAUAAACUAUUUAAAUAUUGCAAUAGCUUAGCCUCCCAAAUAAACAGUACAUACUUAUACAUACACUACACAUGUCCAAACAAGCUUUUAUUAUGCAUGAAACAGCUGUUGCCAUGUAGAAGUUUUUGUCUUGUUGGAAACUAUAAAUUAAGUAGCUUUCGUUAAUUUGAUUGUGUUUCUUGUGGGUGGGUGGGAGAGAGAGAGCGUAAAAAUUCUCUUUUGCAAGUUUAAUUUGUUUUUUUUUUUUUUUUUUAUUCCAGAUGCUCCAAGAAUUUUUCUAUUUGGGAUAAUNAAAAAAAAAAAAAAAAAAAAAAAAAAAAAAAAAAAAAAAAAAAAAAAAAACUUAAUUAUCAAUUGCUGUAUACAGUGGUAUAUAGUUUAUGAUCCAUAGUUUCGAUCCUAUUGUUUCCGGAAAAAAAAUUUAGCUAAGUUACAGAAAAUAUUCUUAUAAAUACAUAAUUUUCUAUUUUUUCUUUCUAACUUCCAAAAAUAUAUAUUUUAUCCUCUCAAUAUCCGAAGUUGUAGCAUUUAGCCCUGCUCCGUCAGGGUUUCAUUACUAUUCCGUCUAUUUUUUAUAAUUUAUAUUAAAAAUAUUUUUUAAAAUAACAGAAAUAUAUUAAAAUACUGUAUUUUCAAUUAGAAGAAGUUAAAGCAAUGGUCAUUUCGCUCUCUUCAUUAACGUCAUACCUCUCUGAAAACAUUUCUGGAAUUUUAAAAUGACAAAAUAUAUGUUUUUGAAAUCAUAAAGGAAAAAUGAAAAUAUAAGUAUUUACAGUGAAAUUUUCUAUAAUUUAGCCAAAAUAUUUUUAAAACUAAGAUUUAAGGGAGUCUCACUGAGUGACGUCCAACUAAUUAGGUUGAGAAGAAGAACACAAAAAAAUUGGUAUAUAUACAGCAGAAAAUUUGGAUAGUGAAAUUCAAGUUCAACCUCUUGUUUAAACUUUUUUUUUGGAUAUAUCAACUUUAAGAUAUUCAAUAUUCCACAUUGCUACAAAUAUAGCACUUUGAUUUCUCGAAUUUAGUUAUCUGGAAAGUGGAAACUUUUUUAAAGGAAUUUUAUUUAACUUCACCUUUUCCUUUGUUUGAUCAAAUGUCAAAAAGAUGGGGCAUAAAAUGGCCCGGUUGGAAUGAAGUAUAUGUUGAAAGCAAUAGAUGAGAAGGAGAUUGCGGAUCAUCUCUUCUCUGGCUGCGCCUACACCACAGCUUUACUGAAAGGUUUGCUACCUAAUAAACUAAUCUUUAACAAUCGCCCUUCCGCGAAGGAGAUUUGGGAAAAAAGUAGUGUCAAAAAGGGUGCACAGGGGGAUAUAGAAAUGUUGACCAUCGUUGCAACGUGGUGGGUAUUAUGGUUGGAGCGCAACAAAAGAAUUUUUCAGCAAUCAAGACGGGUGCUGGGGAGUCCGUUUUUGGAGAUCAGAGUGCUUAGAGACUUGUGGAAUCGUUCAUGUAGUUGAUAUUAGAUGUUUUUGUUUUUCUUUUUGGUUUUCUUUUCUUUUCUUCUUUUGCUUUUCUCUUUUGUCUUUCUUCUGUUUUUCUCUUGUACCUUGAGUUUGUCUUUUUUCUUUUCCUCUUUCUUUCCUCUCAAGGCCCUGGAUGUCUCAAUCUGUAGCUAAAUUCACUCCCUAGUUGAAUGAAGCGGUAGCAUGCUACCUUUUCUCAAAAAAAAAACAUUCACUGCAAAAAAAUUUCAAUACAAAAACGCUUUUAAGAUGAUGCUUCGGAAAAGUGUCCCCAAGCGUCAACCCUACAAUAUAGCAAAUACCGACGCUUCAAAAAGCAUCAUUUUAUAAACCCUCUGUCGUAUCAAACUAAUUUAUUAAAUAAUAAAUUUUAUUAUUAUUUUUAAGUCGACGUUUUAAAGUAUCAGGAUUUCAAAUAUAUUUUACCUUACGCCAGACUAUAUUAGGACGCUUUUAAAUAUCAUUAAAUAUAAAAAAUAGUGUCCUUAAAUGUUAAACUCAAUGGUCCUUACAAAAAAAAGUUACUAAUUAAGGAACUCAAAAAUGAGAGACUUCGAAUUACCAAAAUGUCACAAUCCCCAAUCCUGGGAGAAAUUAAACCUUUUUUAUGAUUUGUUUGUGGUUAUUCCACAAUCAUCUCUUUUCAACUUUAUCUCCAUUUUUUUUUAAUAGGUUACAUCCAAUCUCAAGCACUAAUGCGUGAAGAACCAAGGGGUACGGAACUAUAAAUAGUUUUAAGUGCCGGAAAUUAAUAGUAAUCCAAACUUAAUUUAAAAUUUACACUACAACAAAAACGGUCUAUAGCGACACUUUUAAAUAUAGGUACAUGUCAAAAAAGUGCUGCUAGCUAAAAUUACCGACACUUUUAAAUAGUGUUGCUAUAUGUGGGGUCGCUAGGUAUAUAGUGACAGUUAAAGAGUGUCGCUAUAACCUAAAAGAGUGCUGCUAAUUUACCAACACUUAUUUAAACAUUUAGCAACCGCCGAAACUCUAUCUCGUUGGCUGCGGUGGUGGAGGAGGAGGACGACAGUAAAGGCUCUUCGUCUAGAAUUUCAGUGGAUUGAGUGAAGAGAGAAGAAAAGAUGGUAAUUGAUUUUUCUUUUUCUUUUUUUUCUUUUCUAUUUGUAAUCAGGCCAAAUGGACUAAGUGUGGUUGGUUGAGUAGAGUAAUCUUUUAUUUUUGGUUGGAUUGGGCUUUAUAUUUAGACAUUAGUAGAUGUGUUUUUAAGUUUUAGCAUAAAAGAGACACUUACUCAAAAGUGUCCUAAACAUGUGUCCCUAUAACCUAAUUCUGUUGUAGUGUUAGUUAAACAUAGAAUUUAUUCAAAUUAUAUGUUGAUUCUAUUUAAAAGUUUAUAUAAUUAAAAUAGAAUUUAUAGUUAUUCAAAGUAAAAGUUGGAUUUGUCACU
RNAcentral lists this long non-coding RNA (5983 nucleotides) under Ananas comosus (pineapple). RNAcentral's name for it is "long non-coding RNA (ACOM_LNC004957)". The record is from RNAcentral. Lineage: Eukaryota; Viridiplantae; Streptophyta; Magnoliopsida; Poales; Bromeliaceae.